Ipomoea nil (Japanese morning glory) is the source of this 688-nucleotide long non-coding RNA. RefSeq lists it as uncharacterized. Lineage: Eukaryota; Viridiplantae; Streptophyta; Magnoliopsida; Solanales; Convolvulaceae. The transcript is spliced from 7 exons. The record is from RefSeq and is a predicted model, not a curated record.
GUAUUUGCUGAAAAUAAAGCUCAACAAAAGAGGAAAAGUGAAAGGUAAAGUGGACUCAUUGAAAGAUGAAGCCAUAACUGCAGUGUAAAGAAAGAAAUUACCCACCUUCUGACAGGCCUUUUCUCAAGUUCACUCUUAGUGUAAGAAGUUAGAUCCGCUAUCAACCAUCACAUUAGCAACCACCACGUAACAGGACUGGGCUAGACACCUAACCACAAGAGUAUCCGUAGCUCGAGGAUAUUCACAUCAAGCAUUGUUUGGAAUAAGGGAAGGUUGAGAAGGAUGGGAGUAAGCAGAGACAAAUGAAUGUAUUUGCUGAAAAUCUCUCAACAAAGAGGAGAAGUGAAAGGUAAAGUGGACUCAUUGAAAGAUGAAGCCAUAACUGCAGUGUAACGAAAGAAAUUAUACCCACCUUCUGACAGGUCUUUUCUCAGGUUGAACACUGUUAGUGUAAGAAGUUAGAUCCGCUAUUAACAAACCACCACGUAAGAGGACUGGGCUGAACACCUAACCACAAGGUCUUUUCUCAGGUUGAACACUGUUAGUGUAAGAAGUUAGAUCCGCUAUCAACCAUCACAUUAGCAAACCACCACGUAAAAGGACUGGCUGAACACCUAACCACAAGAGUAUCCGUAGCUCGAGGAUAUUCACAUCAAGCAUUGUUUGGAAUAAGGGAAGGUUGAGAAGG